RNAcentral lists this ribosomal RNA (440 nucleotides) under uncultured bacterium. RNAcentral describes it as "partial 16S ribosomal RNA". It matches the Rfam family "Bacterial small subunit ribosomal RNA", at positions 338 to 795 of the family's 1533-position model. The record is from RNAcentral.
CCUACGGGAGGCAGCAGUAGGGAAUAUUGCUCAAUGGGGGAAACCCUGAAGCAGCAACGCCGCGUGGAGGAUGAAGGUCUUCGGAUUGUUAACCCUUUUUGUUAGAGAAGAAAAGGAGGGUAUGUAAGGAAUAAGCACGGGCUAACGCCGUGCCAGCAGCCGCGGAAAUACGGAGGGCGCAAGCGUUAAUCGGAAGAACGGGGCGUAAAGAGCGCGUAGGGGGGUUAGCAAGUCAGAUGUGAAAGCGUUUGGCUUAACCCUAGAACUGCAUUUGAAACUGUUAUACUAGAGUAUGGGAGAGGUAGGUGGAAUUCUUGGUGUAGCGGUGAAAUCCGUAGAGAUCAAGAGGAAUACUCAUUGCGAAGGCAGCCUGCUAGAACAUAACUGACGCUGAUGCGCGAAAGCGUGGGGAGCAAACAGGAUUAGAUACCCGUGUAGUC